RNAcentral lists this ribosomal RNA (849 nucleotides) under Aquatisphaeria thailandica. RNAcentral's name for it is "Tetraplosphaeriaceae sp. WLL-2021a partial large subunit ribosomal RNA". It matches the Rfam family "Eukaryotic large subunit ribosomal RNA", at positions 67 to 938 of the family's 3401-position model. Lineage: Eukaryota; Fungi; Ascomycota; Dothideomycetes; Pleosporales; Tetraplosphaeriaceae. The record is from RNAcentral.
AACAGGGAUUGCCCUAGUAACGGCGAGUGAAGCGGCAACAGCUCAAAUUUGAAAUCUGGCUCCUUUGGGGCCCGAGUUGUAAUUUGUAGAGGGUGCUUUGGCGUUGGCUCCGACCUAAGUUCCUUGGAACAGGACGUCACAGAGGGUGAGAAUCCCGUACGUGGCCGGCCGCCUUCGCCGUGUAAAGCCCCUUCGACGAGUCGAGUUGUUUGGGAAUGCAGCUCUAAAUGGGAGGUAAAUUUCUUCUAAAGCUAAAUAUUGGCCAGAGACCGAUAGCGCACAAGUAGAGUGAUCGAAAGAUGAAAAGCACUUUGGAAAGAGAGUCAAAAAGCACGUGAAAUUGUUGAAAGGGAAGCGCUUGCAGCCAGACUUGCCUGUAGUUGCUCAUCCGGGCUCUUGCCCGGUGCACUCUUCUGCUGGCAGGCCAGCAUCAGUUUGGGCGGCCGGAUAAAGGCCCCAGGAAUGUAGCUCCCUCGGGAGUGUUAUAGCCUGGGGUGCCAUGCGGCCAGCCUGGACUGAGGUCCGCGCAUCUGCUAGGAUGCUGGCGUAAUGGCUGUAAGCGGCCCGUCUUGAAACACGGACCAAGGAGUCUAACAUCUAUGCGAGUGUUUGGGUGUCAAGCCCGGGCGCGUAAUGAAAGUGAACGGAGGUGGGAACCCUCGGGUGCACCAUCGACCGAUCCUGAUGUCUUCGGAUGGAUUUGAGUAAGAGCAUAGCUGUUGGGACCCGAAAGAUGGUGAACUAUGCCUGAAUAGGGUGAAGCCAGAGGAAACUCUGGUGGAGGCUCGCAGCGGUUCUGACGUGCAAAUCGAUCGUCAAAUUUGGGCAUAGGGGCGAAAGACUAAUCGA